This 425-nucleotide ribosomal RNA is filed under the name uncultured bacterium. Its description in RNAcentral is "partial 16S ribosomal RNA". It matches the Rfam family "Bacterial small subunit ribosomal RNA", at positions 354 to 796 of the family's 1533-position model. The record is from RNAcentral.
GUGGGGAAUAUUGGACAAUGGGCGAAAGCCUGAUCCAGCCAUGCCGCGUGAACGAUGAAGGCCUUCGGGUUGUAAAGUUCUUUAGCCGAUGAUUAUAAUGACUGUAGUCGGAAAAUAAGCCCCGGCUAACUUCGUGCCAGCAGCCGCGGUAAUACGAAGGGGGCGAGCGUUAUUCGGAAUCACUGGGCGUAAAGCGUGCGUAGGCGGUUUUGUAAGUUAGGAGUGAAAGCCCAGGGCUCAACCUUGGAAUUGCUCUUAAAACUGCAAGGCUCGAAUCUCGGAGAGGAUAGCGGAAUUUCCAGUGUAGCAGUGAAAUGCGUAGAUAUUGGAAGGAACACCAGUGGCGUAAGCGGCUAUCUGGACGAGUAUUGACGCUGAGGCACGAAAGCGUGGGGAUCAAACAGGAUUAGAUACCCGGGUAGUCC